Molecule: ribosomal RNA, 598 nt
Filed under: Trichoderma erinaceum
Lineage: Eukaryota; Fungi; Ascomycota; Sordariomycetes; Hypocreales; Hypocreaceae
Description: eukaryotic LSU rRNA
Rfam family: 5.8S ribosomal RNA (bases 209-362)
Source: RNAcentral
GUGAACCUGCGGAGGGAUCAUUACCGAGUUUACAACUCCCAAACCCAAUGUGAACCAUACCAAACUGUUGCCUCGGCGGGGUCACGCCCCGGGUGCGUCGCAGCCCCGGAACCAGGCGCCCGCCGGAGGGACCAACCAAACUCUUUACUGUAGUCCCCUCGCGGACGUUAUUUCUUACAGCUCUGAGCAAAAAUUCAAAAUGAAUCAAAACUUUCAACAACGGAUCUCUUGGUUCUGGCAUCGAUGAAGAACGCAGCGAAAUGCGAUAAGUAAUGUGAAUUGCAGAAUUCAGUGAAUCAUCGAAUCUUUGAACGCACAUUGCGCCCGCCAGUAUUCUGGCGGGCAUGCCUGUCCGAGCGUCAUUUCAACCCUCGAACCCCUCCGGGGGGUCGGCGUUGGGGAUCGGGAACCCCUCAGACGGGAUCCCGGCCCCGAAAUACAGUGGCGGUCUCGCCGCAGCCUCUCCUGCGCAGUAGUUUGCACAACUCGCACCGGGAGCGCGGCGCGUCCACGUCCGUAAAACACCCAACUUCUGAAAUGUUGACCUCGGAUCAGGUAGGAAUACCCGCUGAACUUAAGCAUAUCAAUAAGGCGGAGG